RNAcentral lists this long non-coding RNA (626 nucleotides) under Arabidopsis thaliana (thale cress). RNAcentral's name for it is "ncRNA (AT2G06475)". Lineage: Eukaryota; Viridiplantae; Streptophyta; Magnoliopsida; Brassicales; Brassicaceae. The record is from RNAcentral.
CAAGGGGCCGCCAAUAAAGCCAGUAAAAGCAAGAAGACAAGCCCCAAACUCGAAGGACCCUUUUUUGCCAUCUUUGUUACUCUCUUUUGUUAGUUUGCUAAACCGCUGAAUUUAACGAGUGAACAAAAAAAUUCAAACAUAAAUACAAACCAAGAGUUCUUCUUCGCCACACAUUUAGUCAACAAAAGACUGGUUGAAAUAUUAUAAACACGGCCUCGCAACAAAAACUGAGAAAUUUUAUUUCUUUCCACAUCACAUGACUUGUAAUUUCCGUUGAAUUUGUUUAAGUUGGCAAUCCACCAUAAACAUGACUUGUUCUGGGACCUUGGUCUUCCUCUCAACUACAACUCUUCUUCUUCUUCUUCUUGAUCGUCUCAUUUCCAACCUUAACACAAGAACAAUUCUCCAUCGACAGAGACAGUCCUGUCCUGUAUGAGAAUUUCCCUCAAAUGCAUUAUGUUUAACCCCACAAAGCAACUUCUCCAAAAACCUUAACCGUCUUGUCUUGUCUUGUCUCUUCAAAUAUCCUUUGUCUCACUUCCUACACUUAUGGCUUCUACAAUCUCUCUUGCGGAAGAGAUUCGGAUCAAGAACAAGUCGAGGCUAUUGGGCCACAUCUUCUUCUA